CGUUAUUAGGAUAUUUCAAUUAAACUGUAACUAUCCAUCUGUUACAACUUACCAAGAAGCAAAUGAAAAAAUAUUAUCUCUAGAAUUUCCUAUUCUCCAUCUUGAUAGGUUACUACUAGUAAGAUAUUUACAAAGAUCUCAAAACAGCUGUCUAAGCCACUUAUUGUGGUCUCAUACAAGCUAUGAAUAGUAACAAGAUGAACGCCUGCAUCUCGCCAGAGAAGCAAACAGACAUACUUAACGGUAAGAACAAAAUUGUCACCAUAUAUCAGAAGCAACAGAAGGCUUAACCUGUAGAUUUAGGAUACACCCUAGCAAAAUGCUGCCUUUCACCCUAACUGAAUUGCACUGAUAGAAGAAUUAUUAAGCUCCUUCGAGAAGCCAGAAAAAUCCCUGGUGGCUCUCUUUGUUACACCUUCAAUUUGACUAGCUAGCUUGGAGGCUGUGAAGCAGGGGAAGUAUGGCGGUCCUUCACCAAGGCUAUAGGCGUUAAAGGAGGUGAUGAAGUCAUAUCUUCCAGUGGCUUAGAAACAUGAAGUGAUGUUUCUAUCUGACCCCGAGAUGGUAUAGAGUAACUACGAGGAAGAGCUGGAGGUGUAGGUAGGGUAGAAGCAGCUGAAGAUACUGCUGCUUUGUUUGUAGGAGAAAAAUCCUGAACUUUUGAGACCAAAGGUCCUGAACGAGUAACUGGACGUAAGGGUCUUGUAGUGGUUAUUUUAGCUGGUGGUCUAGGUAGUUCGUGUAGCUCACUUAUUUUAGGUGAUGACAUGAGAGAAGCACGUGAAGAUAAUUUAGGGGUCGAUGAAGGUUCAGGCGUUGAAGUAUGCAAGAAAGGCAGAGAAAAAUGCAGAGGGUAUCCAGAUGAGGCAAUUGGACUACCAGAAGAAACAAUUGGCUUUUUUGGCCAUGGUUUUGCCGUCAAUGGACCAGAAAAGGCUUGUCUCUUGACCUUUUUGGCAUUGGACAAAUCACGUUGUGCAGAUGAUAGGCCUUCUGACAGUGGAGGGGGCAACCAACCAGUACUUGCAUUAUUUUUGCUCUCUGUGGGAACUGAUUGUGUAUUCACGGUGAUAGGUCCAGGGAACUUAUCACCUGCCAUAAGCUUUUCAUAUUUGAACUGAUCCAAAGGGGAGGAAUGCCACUUCUGAACUACACCACUAGUCUGGCUAGUCCGCUUUGUUUGAAGGUCUAUGUUAUGCGAUUUCACUGAUUCUGGAAUCUUCACCUCCACUGGUGUGGGUAGAACAUAUGGUUGAAACUUGUUUGAGAGUGACGAAGUCAUUCGUGCGGCACCCUCAGCAGGAUCUGGUUUCCUCCCAGACAGAAGUGGUGCUGAUUUAGUGAUGUUGACAUCCCUGAAGAAGGAAAAACUGUUCCCACCAUGAAUCUUACUGAGAUUUUCCUUUGAUGCACCCUUCGAAGCAACUUCAGAAACCGCAACAUCCACCUUAUCCAACUCCAUUGAAUGGGUUGAUGUAUAAACCUGGUCAUUCUGUCCAUAGUCAAAGCUCAGUUCACCAUCAUCAAGCGAUUCAGAUCCAACAUCAGAGUCAUCCUCGGAACUGUUUUCAUUGUCAUUGCCAGCAUUAACUCCAUCAUCUUCUUCUAGCCCACGGAAGUGGUAAUCAAUAUGAUGCAGCUCCGUCACCAAUUUGACAUGUGGCUCAAUCUCUUCAAGGGACUUGAGGGCUUUCUUGAAGAAAGAUAACUGAGCAGCAUGGUGUCUAGAUGCCUGAGUUAAAAGGUUGCGGGAUUGUCCUUGCCUGAGGGACUUCAUACGGAAUACAAAAACAUUAGCCCCCUCGUCAUAGUCUUCAUAAGCUACUUGCAGCUGAUGAGAAGAAAUAUG
This 1849-nucleotide unclassified non-coding RNA is filed under the name Hevea brasiliensis (rubber tree). Lineage: Eukaryota; Viridiplantae; Streptophyta; Magnoliopsida; Malpighiales; Euphorbiaceae. The record is from RNAcentral.